RNAcentral lists this ribosomal RNA (428 nucleotides) under uncultured bacterium. RNAcentral's name for it is "partial 16S ribosomal RNA". It matches the Rfam family "Bacterial small subunit ribosomal RNA", at positions 354 to 796 of the family's 1533-position model. The record is from RNAcentral.
GUGGGGAAUAUUGGGCAAUGGGCGAAAGCCUGACCCAGCAACGCCGCGUGAGGGAAGAAGGCCUUCGGGUUGUAAACCUCUGUCCUUGGUGACGAAAAAAAUGACGGUAGCCAAGGAGGAAGCCCCGGCUAACUACGUGCCAGCAGCCGCGGUAAUACGUAGGGGGCGAGCGUUGUCCGGACUUACUGGGCGUAAAGGGUGCGUAGGUGGCCUUUUAAGUUGGAUGUGAAAUACCCGGGCUUAACUUGGGGGGUGCAUAUAAUACUGGAGGGCUAGAGUGCAGGAGAGGGAAGCGGAAUUCCUAGUGUAGCGGUGAAAUGCGUAGAUAUUAGGAGGAACACCAGUGGCGAAGGCGGCUUUCUGGACUGUAACUGACACUGAGGCACGAAAGCGUGGGGAGCAAACAGGAUUAGAUACCCUUGUAGUCC